This 31-nucleotide non-coding RNA is filed under the name Homo sapiens (human). Lineage: Eukaryota; Metazoa; Chordata; Mammalia; Primates; Hominidae. The record is from RNAcentral.
CCUAUGUAUAGAGCAACAUGACGCUCGGAGG